Molecule: ribosomal RNA, 497 nt
Filed under: uncultured bacterium
Lineage: Bacteria
Description: partial 16S ribosomal RNA
Rfam family: Bacterial small subunit ribosomal RNA
Source: RNAcentral
GACGAACGCUGGCGGCGUGCCUAAUACAUGCAAGUCGAGCGGACGAAUCGAAAGCUUGCUUUUGAUUCGUUAGCGGCGGACGGGUGAGUAACACGUGGGCAACCUGCCCUGUAGACGGGGAUAACACCGAGAAAUCGGUGCUAAUACCAGAUAACACGAAAUGUCGCAUGACGUUUCGUUGAAAGACGGCGCAAGCUGUCGCUACAGGAUGGGCCCGCGGCGCAUUAGCUAGUUGGUGAGGUAACGGCUCACCAAGGCGACGAUGCGUAGCCGACCUGAGAGGGUGAUCGGCCACACUGGGACUGAGACACGGCCCAGACUCCUACGGGAGGCAGCAGUAGGGAAUCUUCCGCAAUGGACGAAAGUCUGACGGAGCAACGCCGCGUGAGCGAAGAAGGCCUUCGGGUCGUAAAGCUCUGUUGUUAGGGAAGAACAAGUAACGCAGUAACUGGCGUUACCGUGACGGUACCUAACGAGAAAGCCACGGUGAACUACGU